Molecule: transfer RNA, 72 nt
Filed under: Stegodyphus mimosarum
Lineage: Eukaryota; Metazoa; Arthropoda; Arachnida; Araneae; Eresidae
Rfam family: tRNA
About the family: Transfer RNA (tRNA) molecules are approximately 80 nucleotides in length.
Source: Rfam by way of RNAcentral
GCCUUCGUGGUGUUGCGGUUAGCACAUUCGGUGCAUAUUCGAGAGAUCCAGGUUCGAAUCCCGGCGAGGGCA